This is a long non-coding RNA of Bactrocera dorsalis (oriental fruit fly), 3819 nucleotides long. RefSeq lists it as uncharacterized. The record is from RefSeq and is a predicted model, not a curated record. NCBI's taxonomy places the organism in Eukaryota, Metazoa, Arthropoda, Insecta, Diptera, Tephritidae. The transcript is spliced from 2 exons.
GUUUGUUUACAUAUUUUGUUACAACGAAGUGGUGCUUACGUCUUUUUUCGAUUCAACAUAUUAGUUUUGAUUAGCGGCAAAAUCGCAAAAUAUUUUACUUUUUAUCAGUGAUUGUGCAAUAUGGAAUUGUGUCAACAAGUGAUUGCAUUCAAAAAUGGUCUUGUUCCAUACAGCGAUACUGAUUCUAAUCAUUCUUCUGAGCAAAAAACUUAUUCACAAACAGAAUCCAAAAAUGAUAUUGAAGAAGAGACAUGUGCAAAAGAGGUUACAGAAACAAAAGAAUAUUACCUAAGAGAUUACAAAAUAAAAAACAACGUGAUACUAGUGUUCAGCCGAAUCCUUGUAUAAAUAAAAAGUGUGGAAAUCUUUGUGAUGAUAAGUUCACCGAGUCAGAUCGGUUAGCAAUAAAUGAACAUUUUUGGGGCUUCGGCAACAAAAUUAGACAAAAAGACUGGCUCCUUUCGUGUAUAACACGGUUAUCCGUCCGAAGACGAAGAGAUGAUAGUAACAGAAGGCAAUAUACAUAUAAUUAUGCCAUUAAUUAGAAUGAUAAUACUAUUAAAGUGUGCCAACAGUUUUUGCUGAAAACGCUUCACAUAUCGGAAAAAAAGUUAAGAUUGGCUAGAAACAAUGCGAGUGGUUUGAAAAGUUUUAGUGAGGAAAAAAAAAUCUACGCCUCAUAAUACGAGUCCAAGGUUGCACUUUUAAAGUCAUUUAUUGAACAAUUGCCAGCAGUUCCCUAGCAUUAUUGUCGUAAUAAAAGUAACAAGCUGUAUCUUCCUCAAGAAUUUCACAAUACAAAAGGAUUAUAUGAUUGAUAUACCAAGCAUUUAAAUAAUAUUAAUCAGGAGUCGUCACUGUUAUCCUUAAGAGUCUUCCGAAAUGUUUUUACAAAUAGUUUUCAUAUCGGUUUUCACUUGACAAAUGCGUAACUUGUGAAAAUUACAAAAACCUGGACAGCGAAACACAAAACCAUUUAAAGCAAACUGAAGAAUACCAGACACACAUAAGAAACAAAGAUAAGUGUAAAGAAAUCUUUUUCGAGGAUCAAAAACAAAGUAAAGCCAAUUCGUUCUUCCUAUGUGCUAGCUUUGAUCUCCAAAAGGUUUUAAAUACACCCCAUGGAAAAAGCAUGACAUUAUUUUAUUCUCGAAAGUAUGCAUACUAUAAUGAAAGCGUGUAUGAAAAUGACACUAGAAAUGGUUAUUGUUUUUUGUGGGGAGAAGCUGACGGAAAAAGAGGAUCUAAUGAAAUUUCCACUGUGGUCUUUGAGUAUUUGAAAAUUGUCGACGAAAGAAGAACUCACUCUUCAGUAAGUCUUUACUGUGACAGCUGUGCUAGUCAAAAUCGGAAUAAAGCUAUGCUUUCCACAUUAGUAUUUUUUCUUACAAUUUAACAUAAAAAUUACGUAUUUGUUACCUGGGCAUACUAUGAUGCCAGUUGACUCUAUACACAGCACUAUUGAGGCAUUUACUCACGAUAAACUAUUUGGGCCCCUAGUGAAUGGUAUACCAUGAUUUCAAAAGCAAGAACUAAUCCCGAAAAUUAUAAAUGCGUUAUAAUGAAUAAUUCUGAUUUCAAAGAUUGGAAAACAUUUUCUCAAACUAUGUUUCCAACUUCAAUUAAAAUCUCUUUUCCAAAAUUACGUUCUGCUUCGUUAGAAAAAAAUAAUCCUAUCAUGAAACUUAAGUACGGAUAUUUUGACGAUUCCAAAAUUGAAGAAUACGAUCUUAACUCCAUUGCAAGAUCAAGACGAAAUAAUUCUUUAAUGGACCUCUACGUUUAUAUGAUAAUUUAUUAAAAAUUUCUUCAAAAAAAUACAAAGAUCUAAAAACAAUAUGUGAUAAAAACACAAUACCUACAAGAUUUCACAGCGAAUUUUUAAAUUUAAAAUACGAUGAAAUUAUUAAAGAUGUUCUACCUGAAACUGAUCAAGUAGACAAUUAGUAUUUUUUAGUAAGCCAAUUAUUUUUAAAACUAUUCAAUUAAAGUUUAAAAACUAUUAUUAUUUAUAUAAGUUUGCAGUUAAAAUUAAUUCUGUACUCUAAAGUAUUUUUCAUAUUAAUUUUAUUUUUUAUUGACACUAAUGAAUUUAAGGUUAAUUUUUGUACACGAAAAAAUUUGAAAAAUUAAAAAAAUUAAAAACAGAACAAAGAUUUUUUACUAAUAUCAUUGGGCAUAACCGCCAAAACAUAAAUUAGUAGCUAUCCAGCAUGACAGCAAAAAAGACGUAAGCGACAUUAAUACCCGUUAUCUUGGAAAUAUAUGAAAAAAAAAAUAAAUACAAUGUAUAGUUAAGAAGUAGCAGUGCAUACAUACUCAAUUCCACUGCACUACUUCUUCCUAAACCUAAGAUUUAAAAAAAAAAUCUUCCCCUGUAUAAUUUGUUUUUGGCGCUUACGUCUUUUUGACGGUUAGGGCUCAAUAUGUAUGUUUAAGGAGGCCUGCACAAUCAGAUGUUAUUAUUAUUUUUAUUUAAUUAAUCUUUGCUUUCAGAGUAAAUUCUAUUUGUAUUUAAUAUAUUGUUACGAUUUUUACUGCUUGCUAGUUGACUUUGCUAGGUUCGUAUCUCUGGAUUGACGAAUAAAACCAAAACUGUUUAAUUCAAUUCAACAACUCUUUAUUUUACAACUUGUCUACACUAUAACAGUUUACUCUUAGCACUGAUUGAUUACGUUGGCGCUGCCACGGCUUAUAUACCCACGCACUUCUCGCUGAUGCCGACGUGUCCUUCUAGAAUAUUGCGUCUGGAAAUUACCAGAACAUACGGCGCCAAAUGCAGCUAUUGCUUAGACAAGCAGACAGCCGCGGCGCCAGAUGUCUACAACAAGACAAAUGCUAUUCCAUAUACCUACAGCUAUUGUUCAUAAUAAGGGAUGCAUAUCCAAAUACAACUAAAUACUACUUUUGCAACAAUAUUUUAUUUUUUCAGAUAAUAUUAAUCUUUUCUUUCAGAUAUUAUUAUCAUUUUAUACAAUUGUUGCGUCAAGCGACAUAUCUACAAAUUUAUACCUAAAAUAAAAAUAAUAAAUGAAUUAUAAAAUAUUGAAUUAUAAAAAUUAUGAAAUAUUGAAUUGUUAUAAAUUAAGUUAAGAAAAUCUAUUAUAAAAUACUUACCCUAACAAUGUUAAAUAUACUCACCUUAAUCUAUUACCAUAAUCUGUUACAAUAUUGAAAGAAAAGUUGAAGAUUAUUAUACUUACCCCUUAUUGAUACAUAUUUAUUUUACCACUAGUUUAAGCCGUUAGUUUUAAGAUUUAGGCUUAGCAAUUAGUUUAAGAAAUAAAGAACUGCUAUUGGAUCAGAACCAUCGAGUCGAACGCACGCGUCUUAAUUUUUAUCGUAAAUCUCGACAGGCAAUUAGGUAUUUUUCACUUUAUUCGCGCAUUCCCAAGUUUUGUAUUAUCGCUUCUCAAAAACGCUUGAGAUUUUUCAUGGCGCCCGAGCAGGGACUUAGUGCGUGAUCUAAGAAUUUUUUAUUUGACUUUCGUUUUCGGUUUAAUUAAACAUUAUCGUUUCUAAUUGCCUGUCAAUCGUUCGGUUUUCGGUCUUCGGUAAAGUGAAGUGAAGCAAAGAAAUAAAAAAAAAAAAUAAUAAUAGUUAACUAAAAUACAUAUACAUAGAUAUACAUACCUAUAUAUGUAUAUAAUUCAUACAUAUAUAUAGUGGAAGUGACCUAAAUAAUAAGAAAAAAAUAAAGGAAAAAUAAUCAUAAAACAUAAAAUAUAAAACACAAAACAAGAGUGAAAAAAGUGGCGGAAAAGUAUUUAAUACUUACAUAUGUACGUGAACACGUGAAGAUAUAGUGGCAAAAUAUAA